UUAAAACCAUAUGAGGCUGCUGAAGUGUCUUGAUGGGUGUAUAUUGGAACUAUUAUUGGACAGAGAGCCAAUCAUCAGACAAAGGUCCGUUCAGUAGCACUUGAGAAAGCACCUGCUGUCUCCUUGCUGGCUUCAAAAUUAGCUGUGACAUCACAGUUUUUUCUGAUAGACUAAUCGGGGAAUUGCAAUAAUUGCUUUGUGUGGAUGAUCUUCGUACUCCGCGUAACUAACAUGGCCUACCUUUCACACGUUUAUAAGGCUAGGUAUGUUUUUCAGGUUAUGUACCUUUUAGCAAAGGUUCCAGCGUCCGUUACGGUACAUUGUACAGUACAGUAACUCCCCUCCCCCAAGAAACCCAGGCUGUCCAGGACUUGUGGUUUCAUUUACAAUUUAAGCAGGAUUCAGGGCGUCAAAUUUCAAACGUAAACUCUUAGGUUCCCCUGCGGACAUUGAUGCCAGUCCUGCUCCUGUAAGCACUGUGCCCCUAUGUGGCCCCCUGCCAGCACAAGGGGAGGAGCCGAGCAAAACAACAAACUCUGUUUCAUAUUCAACACUCAAGCAAACAGGAUCCAGGGGAAGAUUUUUUCCCACAGAACGGACAGGGCCUCACCACCGUGGUUCGGCCCCAUGAGAUUGGCAGCCUGGCUAAUUUAUUUCAGCCCCGUUGCACAGCAGUUAAAGUUCCCAGUUUAUGAAUCGAUAAAGAACCUCCUGUGGGUGAAAAUGAGAGUCACAAUUUUCGUAACCAAGGACAUCUGGAACGGAAACAAAGCCGGUGAAUCCCCGAAGGUCCGCCAGCACAGCGGUGGGGUUUUUUGCGGCUUGAUGGCGGUUGUGUUGUGGCACAGCAUUGUGGGAAGGUUGGCCUGCCAGCACAGUUCUGCAGGUUUGAAUCCCAUAAAGGGAAUGGCCAAGCAGUGCAAAACCAUGUGAUUUAACAGUACUACAGCCUCUGGACCGGCUGUGGGAGAGUCAAAACUCCACUGAAUCUACUGAACACUUCCGAAGUACAGGUGCAAUGUGUCAGGUAACCACUGGAGGGAAGCAAAGAUGCAUAAACCUGAAAAAAAGCCGAAUUCCCCGACUGCAAGAGUCGUCUGGCUCCUGAUGUGGUGAUAUUUUUUUCCCCAAGCACCAGCUAAAGAAACUAAAGUCCCCUUUUCAAUUUAACAAACACUGUUGUAUCUCUGUGCAGCUGUCUCUGGUAAGCUGGUGUUUUUUUAUUUAUUUGGUUGUAUGACAUCAGUAAAGUCUAAAACCCAAUCUCACUGUGACAAUACAAGACACCUGAGAAAUAGAGAGAAGCUCUGAUAGCUUUAAGAGUGACUUUUGUUGGACUUUGUUGUUGUAGCUUUGCUGUUACAGGACGUAACACACAAUAAAUGUAUUCUGGGGCUUGAAAUCAGACAAACACAUCAACAAUGUGCGUUCAAGUUGGAGAACAUCUGAUAUGUAUAUAUAUAUUAAAAUGAACCUUUCAUCUUAAACUUUGUGAUGGCAUAUCCACGGAGCUGUUGCAGUUCCUCUAUCCCUCCUCUUCUCUCGUCUUUUCCUUUCCGUUGAAGGGAUAGUUUACUUUCUGAGGUCUUAGAAAUGCGUUAUUUCUGUUCUAAUGCGUAUUUUUAACUUGGCACAGUUUUUGUGUGCGACGAUGGGCGACUUUUACGACUUUACAGAAGCGUCUAAUGACCUGCUGGCGUUACACUGGCUGGUGCAGGCCACUCGGGGGUUUGUGGUCUAAAACGAAGUACACGUGAAGUAACUCCUCAGCGGCUCGUGCUGGGAUGCUGUGUUUCCACAUUUGGCAGGAGUCGCAGUGACUAAGUAAGGCUUCUGCUGAACCUGCCAAUGUUCCACUAGGAACCGCGGCUAAGUCUGCGAGAACGGCAUCAGCAACUUGGGAGUUUUAUUUAUUUAUUUAUCUAUUUAUUACCU
Long non-coding RNA from Anguilla rostrata (American eel), 1935 nucleotides. RefSeq lists it as uncharacterized. The transcript has 3 exons. NCBI's taxonomy places the organism in Eukaryota, Metazoa, Chordata, Actinopteri, Anguilliformes, Anguillidae. The record is from RefSeq and is a predicted model, not a curated record.